RNAcentral lists this non-coding RNA (117 nucleotides) under unclassified sequences. RNAcentral's name for it is "Betaproteobacteria-1 RNA". It matches the Rfam family "Betaproteobacteria-1 RNA". The record is from Rfam by way of RNAcentral.
CGCUGAAUUGGACGCGCACUGGCGGUAGCAAUCAGGGACAGCUCUACUACGGGAUAGGUGUUGAGACAGAGCAAGGGGUGGCGAAGUGAGUGCCCCUACAUCGAACGACUGACGGGU